CUGCAACCCCUGUUUGCUGUGAGGGAGCAUGUAAUCUGCCUCUUGGGUGAGGGAAGACCAUGAUUAUGGUCACCAAACCAGUAAUAGCUUAUUCAGUGACCACAAGGUUGACCCUACCAGAAAACCAGGGAGCAUGACCAGUGCCCACAGGACCAUAUGAAAAUUGGUGUCAUAGCAUGGUUCCUGCAGUGUGUGGGGAGGCUGGGCACAACAAAUGCAGUCCACUACAAGCAUCAAACAAGCUCCGACACCUCAUAUCACACAGUCACCACACAUACAUUACACAGUGCCACAACACAUAGCACAUAUAACCACACCAAACACAGCAGUCACCCACAUGUCACACACAGCCACAGCACACAAACCCACCACACAUAGCCACUUACACAUUACACAGAGCCACAAUAUA
Molecule: non-coding RNA, 409 nt
Organism: Pelobates cultripes (western spadefoot toad)
Lineage: Eukaryota; Metazoa; Chordata; Amphibia; Anura; Pelobatidae
Source: the annotation of a GenBank genome assembly